GGCUAGGGACUAAUGAAAGUUUUUAGAAAAUUGGGCAGACUAGAUGGACCGAAUGGUUCUUAUCUGCCGUCACAUUCUAUGUUUCUAUGUUUCCACGGGAGCGGGUUUGGGCUGUGUGGGCCUCUGUAGCAUUGCUCCGAUGUCCCUGCUUUCUGCCACAGUAGGUUCCUGUGAGCGGCGGCCCAUAGCUGGCAUGUGGGCUGGUAUGACAGGUGUUGUAGGGGAAGAGUCGUCUCCCACUCUGCACUUGGUGCAAAGAGUGCCUCCAGGCCUCCCUAGUUUUUCGCCUCCGGAGGUGUUAUGGAGUCCAGCUGGCAGCGUUAGAAGGCUGGAUGGGCGUUCAAUUUUGGGAUACUUGAUGAUCAGAGGCUGCUCUCUAAUUAGGUGGUUUAGGCGGCCGCCUAAGGCCUCAUGCUGGCUGGGUUACUGGCUGGGUUACCACGGCAAUGCUCUGACCUCUGGCGAGAUCACAUGGUCUGCAGCUCUGUGGCCACCGAACCAUCAGGGAAAUUAAGGUAUGCAGUCCCCCCUCACAUCAACCCCCCCUCACCAUCAAGUCCCUUACCAUCCAGCCCUCCCUCUGCAUCAGCCCCUCCCCUCACCAUCAAUCCCCAUCCCCCCUCCCUCACCAUCAGCCCCCCCAUCACCCUCUCAUCACCCCCCUCUCCCUCACUCUCAUCACCCCCUUGCUCACAGAGACAUACAUUCACACACACACAAGGAUACUCUGUCAGACACACUCUCAGGCACAUACACAGGUAAACUGUGCAUCAAUGUGUAGUGUGCAUGUAUUGUGUAGUGUAGUGUGCAUGUAAUUUUUUUUCACUUUUUUGUUAGUGGGGCCUCAUGUUUGAGUUUCGCCUAAGGCCUCAUAAAGUCUAGAGCCGCCUCUGUUGAUGAUUAUUUGAUUGUCUCGGAGGAGCUUGCAAGCACGGUGUCUGUUCAGGUUGGUGGUCAAGCUCCGCCCCCCGGACUUAUGUUUUUAAUCAUAAUAUGCAAGAACUACUCUAGCAUUGUCUAGUUAACUGAGUAAUAUUUUAUCAAAGCCAUAAAUGAAAUUGUUGUUGAAUUAUAGAUCAUGCUCAUAACCAAAUGAAAAUAUUGUUCUGGUUUGCAAUACACCGUUUUUCGGUAACUAGUCAUUGGUUUGAUAUUCCUGGGCUUUAUACAAAGGGCCAUCAUAUAGGCACAUGGCCCUUGUUGCACUACAAUUAUUCUGAUCCCAAUGUAAUGAGAUGCAGUCCAAGAAGAUAUGAUGUGUAGUAUGCAUGUCCUAUUAAUGAUAUCUACGCCACGUGUGAGAUCAGCAAGAGGCAUGGUCAGGAUAUAGCUUAUAUAGAACUCUUAAAUCAAAAUAUGGUGUGUUAUGAUUAUAAAUGCAAAUACUGCAUUAAUAUGUAAUCACAAUGUGCACAUUUAAUCAAAACGUGUACUUCAUAACUAUUUAAAUUGUAUAUAAAUUACUUCUAACUGGGUGUAUGCAAUUUUGUUUGCAAAUAAACAUUUCAGUACAAUUUUAUUUGCUGUUUUAUUGCAUUAAUCGAGUGAUUGUAAUACAAUGAUCACACUCUUAUAUGCC
Molecule: long non-coding RNA, 1579 nt
Filed under: Pelobates cultripes (western spadefoot toad)
Lineage: Eukaryota; Metazoa; Chordata; Amphibia; Anura; Pelobatidae
Source: RNAcentral